RNAcentral lists this ribosomal RNA (652 nucleotides) under Escherichia sp. DJM1A6. RNAcentral describes it as "bacterial SSU rRNA". It matches the Rfam family "Bacterial small subunit ribosomal RNA", at positions 832 to 1487 of the family's 1533-position model. Lineage: Bacteria; Pseudomonadati; Pseudomonadota; Gammaproteobacteria; Enterobacterales; Enterobacteriaceae. The record is from RNAcentral.
ACUGAGGGUGGAUUCCGGAGCUAACGCGUUAAGUCGACCGCCUGGGGAGUACGGCCGCAAGUUAAAACUCAAAUGAAUUGACGGGGGCCCGCACAAGGAGGGAGCAUGUGGUUUAAUUCGAUGCAACGGAAGAACCUUACCUGGUCUUGACAUCCACAGAACUUGGCAGAGAUGCCUUGGUGCCUUCGGGAACUGUGAGACAGGUGCUGCAUGGCUGUCGUCAGCUCGUGUUGUGAAAUGUUGGGUUAAGUCCCGCAACGAGCGCAACCCUUAUCCUUUGUUGCCAGCGGUUAGGCCGGGAACUCAAAGGAGACUGCCAGUGAUAAACUGGAGGAAGGUGGGGAUGACGUCAAGUCAUCAUGGCCCUUACGACCAGGGCUACACACGUGCUACAAUGGCGCAUACAAAGAGAAGCAAUCUCGCGAGACCUAGCGGACCUCAUAAAGUGCGUCGUAGUCCGGAUUGGAGUCUGCAACUCGACUCCAUGAAGUCGGAAUCGCUAGUAAUCGUGAAUCAGAAUGUCACGGUGAAUACGUUCCCGGGCCUUGUACACACCGCCCGUCACACCAUGGGAGUGGGUUGCAAAAGAAGUAGGUAGCUUAACCUUCGGGAGGGCGCUUACCACUUUGUGAUUCAUGACUGGGGUGAAGUC